RNAcentral lists this ribosomal RNA (811 nucleotides) under uncultured archaeon. RNAcentral's name for it is "bacterial SSU rRNA". It matches the Rfam family "Archaeal small subunit ribosomal RNA", at positions 52 to 845 of the family's 1478-position model. The record is from RNAcentral.
UGGGAGUCUUACACCCCCGGGCAAGGGGGUGUGGCGGACGGCUGAGUAACACGUGGCUAACCUACCCUCGGGAGGGGGAUAACCCCGGGAAACUGGGGAUAAUCCCCCAUAGGGGAGGAGUCCUGGAACGGUUCCUCCCUUAAAGGGGUAUGGGCUAUUUCCCGCUCAUACCCGCCCGAGGAUGGGGCUGCGGCCCAUCAGGCUGUUGGCGGGGUAACGGCCCGCCAAACCUAUAACGGGUAGGGGCCGUGGGAGCGGGAGCCCCCAGUUGGGCACUGAGACAAGGGCCCAGGCCCUACGGGGCGCACCAGGCGGGAAACGUCCCCAAUGCGCGAAAGCGUGAGGGCGCUACCCCGAGUGCCCCCGUAAGGGGGCUUUUCCCCGCUCUAAAAAGGCGGGGGAAUAAGCGGGGGGCAAGUCUGGUGUCAGCCGCCGCGGUAACACCAGCUCCGCGAGUGGUCGGGACGCUUACUGGGCCUAAAGCGCCUGUAGCCGGCCCACUAAGUCGCCCCUUAAAGACCCGGGCUCAACCCGGGAAAUGGGGGCGAUACUGGUGGGCUAGGGGGCGGGAGAGGCUAGGGGUACUCCCAGAGGAGGGGCGAAAUCCGUAGAUCCUGGGAGGACCACCAGUGGCGGAGGCGCCUAGCUAGAACGCGCCCGACGGUGAGAGGCGAAAGCCGGGGCAGCAAAUGGGAUUAGAUACCCCAGUAGUCCCGGCUGUAAACGAUGCGGGCUAGGUGUCAGGUGGGCUUAGAGCUCACCUGGUGCCGCAGGGAAGCCGUUAAGCCCGCGCCUGGGGAGUACGGUCGCA